CGGGCACCUGUUUCUUUCGACGACUUCCAGAUGCACGCAAAUUCUCCUUAUAUCGUGAUUGGUCACAGAACAUACAACUAUGUAGCUCACUAGUUUCCCCCCAAUACAACAUACAAUUAUUAACGCAACAAUCGAUCUUUUCCACGGGCAAACCCAAACCGCGCAGAUUUCUCUUCGUACUAUAGAAGUCUUCUGGACAGUUGUUAUCAUUCGGUAAA
This 218-nucleotide long non-coding RNA is filed under the name Salvia miltiorrhiza (redroot sage). RNAcentral describes it as "long non-coding RNA (SMIL_LNC011655)". Lineage: Eukaryota; Viridiplantae; Streptophyta; Magnoliopsida; Lamiales; Lamiaceae. The record is from RNAcentral.